GAUUUUAUUCAUUUCAAUGCGGCUGCCAAUUUGACAUGCUGUUAAAUAAUUUUAUUUCUUUGGCGAAAUUGCCCCCAACUAUGACAGCUUGGACAAAACUGCCCUUAACGGUCUAAUCUCCUUUUUCGGUGUAAAACACUCAAUUUCUCUCUCUCUCUCUGUCUCACCACACGGCACCCACCCACCCUUAUCACACCAGGAAACACCACCUCCACCAGUCAAAAUCCAUUUUGGGUUAAUGGUUUUCUUUACAAAGAAGUGAUUAGGGCCUAUCAUUUUGAGAGAUGAAGAGGAUAAGCCAGAGACAAGAGGGUGUCAAAGCGUGUGUUAUCUGUCUGUCGAGGAGGCAGGAACAAAGAAGUAAGGACAGAUCGGUGGUGGCAAUGGCAUCCGGUGAUGCGUGGUGGUGGUCGCGAUCACGGGCAGUGGCGCUGCCUGUGGUCGCAGUUCUUCUUCUCUCUC
RNAcentral lists this long non-coding RNA (462 nucleotides) under Actinidia chinensis (golden kiwifruit). RNAcentral's name for it is "long non-coding RNA (ACHI_LNC001510)". The record is from RNAcentral. Lineage: Eukaryota; Viridiplantae; Streptophyta; Magnoliopsida; Ericales; Actinidiaceae.